This 85-nucleotide transfer RNA is filed under the name Thalassiosira minuscula. It matches the Rfam family "tRNA". From Rfam's summary of the family: Transfer RNA (tRNA) molecules are approximately 80 nucleotides in length. Their secondary structure includes four short double-helical elements and three loops (D, anti-codon, and T loops). Further hydrogen bonds mediate the characteristic L-shaped molecular structure. tRNAs have two regions of fundamental functional importance: the anti-codon, which is responsible for specific mRNA codon recognition, and the 3' end, to which the tRNAs corresponding amino acid is attached (by aminoacyl-tRNA synthetases). tRNAs cope with the degeneracy of the genetic code in two manners: having more than one tRNA (with a specific anti-codon) for a particular amino acid; and 'wobble' base-pairing, i.e. permitting non-standard base-pairing at the 3rd anti-codon position. Lineage: Eukaryota; Bacillariophyta; Thalassiosirophyceae; Thalassiosirales; Thalassiosiraceae. The record is from RNAcentral.
GAGACGUGGCCGAGUGGUCGAAGGCGCUCCCCUGCUAAGGGAGUAGGCGGGAAACCGUCUCGAGGGUUCGAAUCCCUUCGUCUCC